GCUGGGCACCGCAGCGUGUGCCUGUAGUCCCAGCUACUCGGGAGGCUGAGGUGGGAGGAUCGCUUGAGCCCAGGAGUUCUGGGCUGCAGUGCGCUAUGCCGAGCGGGUGUCCGUGCUAAGUUUGGCAUCAAUAUGGUGACCUCCCGGGAGCGGGGGACCACCAGGUUGCCUAAGGAGGGGUGAACCGGCCCAGGUUGGAAACGGAGCAGGUCAAAACUCCCAUGCUGAUCAGUAGUGGGAUCGCAUCUGUGAAUAGCCACUGCACUCCAGCCUGGGCAACAUAGCGAGACCCCGUCUCU
RNAcentral lists this signal recognition particle RNA (299 nucleotides) under Aotus nancymaae (Ma's night monkey). Its description in RNAcentral is "Metazoan signal recognition particle RNA (ENSANAG00000008651.1)". It matches the Rfam family "Metazoan signal recognition particle RNA". From Rfam's summary of the family: The signal recognition particle (SRP) is a universally conserved ribonucleoprotein. The record is from RNAcentral. Lineage: Eukaryota; Metazoa; Chordata; Mammalia; Primates; Aotidae.